GAAAUUAAUUCUGAUCCGCCAUUUAAUUGGCACUCAGUACUUUCUGAAAAAAGAUUAAAAAAAAAAGAUAAAGACAUCUGCUCUUCUUUUUCCAAUUUGAUGAUUAUUAUGAUCCAUCGAAUUCAAAUCUGGCAUUACUGAUUCAAUCUCCCGAAUUAUGUUUUGUAAACCUAGCACCCAAUUGUCAGUAACCAUCUCUCCCUACAAUCGCCGACGGUAAAAUAUAGUGCAAAUCACUGUCUCCUCCAUGUGAGAAACUGAUUAUGAGAGACAGAUAGAGGGGCUAUUGCUGUGGCGGUGAUGGUGGUGGUGCGAUGGUGAUUACAGUUGGCGAAGAUAUUUGAUAUUCCUGGUUGUGGCGAAGAUGGGAGGUCGGCGUAAGUUUCGAAUCCGAAACUGUAUUCAGGGAGUCUGCUGUGGUGGAGAAUACAAAAGAGGUAACCAUUAUUUAUUCUUUCAAUUUUUGUCUUUAGAUGAAUAUUACAAAUUACAAUAUGAAUAAUAAAAAACUAUAUAAUUUUUUAGUAUAUUGCACCGAUAAUUCCUCUAUUUUGUUAUUUUGAUUUCUAUAAUUUUAAUUAGUUUAUAUUUGAUUUUAAAUUGUAGCCUAAUCGAUUAUAAUUGUUAUUAUUUUUUAAUUAAAAAAAGAUGGUAUAUAUCAUUUUUUAAAUAUAAAAUUAUAAACUUAUUCAACUCAGUGAGUUAAUCUAAAUUAAUUCAGUGAUAUUUUCUGUCAAAAACACUAAGAGCUUUAUUAAUUAGACUAAAUUGACACAAAAUUUAAUAAUAAUAACUAAAAUUAGAGAUUUUUGGUGAAAAGCUCCACCUAUUGGGCCUUUUUUAUGUGAAGAUCACGUAAUAAAAUAUUGGUUCCAAAAAUACCUCAAAUAAAAAAAUAUAGUGAAAAGACUGAAAUACUCUUUCAUAUAAAUAGGCAAAUAUCAAACGAUGGAACCGUUUAUCUCCCUCACUUUGUUUCAUCGCUUGAACUCGUUGCUCUGAAAACAAAUAAUAGAAGUACACAGUAACAGAGUAAAAUUUUACUGUCAUUGUAUCAAAAAAACAAAAA
Molecule: non-coding RNA, 1069 nt
Organism: Camellia sinensis
Lineage: Eukaryota; Viridiplantae; Streptophyta; Magnoliopsida; Ericales; Theaceae
Source: RefSeq, a predicted model, not a curated record